This 2794-nucleotide long non-coding RNA is filed under the name Theobroma cacao (cacao). Its description in RNAcentral is "long non-coding RNA (TCAC_LNC003200)". The record is from RNAcentral. Lineage: Eukaryota; Viridiplantae; Streptophyta; Magnoliopsida; Malvales; Malvaceae.
AAGAACAAAGGAAGAAAAGAAAGAACAAGAACUCUAGGGUGAAAAUUCAAGGGAAAAGUGUGAAAAUUCAAGUAAUUAAGCAAUCAAAGGUAAAAUUUCUUGAUUUUGACUUGUGAUCUACCUUUCCCAUGCAUUAUUUUGCAUUUUCCAUGGUUGAAUCACAAGAUAUCAUGAAGGAUUCAUGGCUUACCGAAUUUAGAGAGAGAAGAUUUGAUGAUUUAUUUGGUUAGAUUUUGAGAUAUUUUAGUGUUUAUAGUUGAUUUAUCAUGUUUGGAAGGAAAACAAGAAAAAUCACAUGUUCUUCAUGGAUUUUUCAUUGGUCGAAUUUUCCAUGUAGAGUGUGGAUGAUGAUUUUGAUUUUAUUUCAAGUGAAUUGGUUAGGAAAUGAUGAAUUACGGUGAGAAAAUCAAGUAGGAAAAAUCAUAGUAUUGAUGCACCCACCAUGGUCGAAUUUUCCAAGAGAAAAUGUGAGGAUGAUUUUGCCAUAUUUCAAGUUAUUUAAUUUGUGUUUGAUGAUUUGGAGUAUUGGGAGAAAAAUGAAAUUAUUUGGAAUUGAAUUGGACAUAUUGGCCAAUUAAUAGAGUGAUAGAUCGAAUUAGGCCAAUACCAUGUAAUUUAGGUACACAAUUGAAUUUGUAUAGAACCCCGUGUUUAGACAAUAAUCCAAACAAUUUGCAUCCCAUUUCAUACAUUAGUAUAAAGCCUGAAUUGGUUUUAUAACAAUUUAGCACAAUGUAGUAAAUGGCUUAUUGUGCAUUAUGUCUAGGUGAUGAGCAUUUUGGCAAAAGUAAAGAAAUAGUACCUAAGGAUCAAGAAUCGGAGUACUUGGAAUUCGACUCUCGAAAUUGUGAGUAACCUUAUAUCAUCUUAAUUAUCUAAAGUAUGUUUUAUUCAAUUUUGUGAAUUUUAUGGAAAAUGAAUUAAAUGAUUAAUUUUUCGGUUUUAUAAACAAAAUGUGAUUUAAUGAAAUGAUUUCAUAAAAUUGUUUUAAAACUGAAUGAUGAUUUGAAAAUAGAGUAAUUGAAGACUGUUUUUAUGUGUUGUAAAUUCAUGAUUCUAAUUGAUUGGCUUAUGGCAAUAUUGGCAUGAAUGGUUGAUUUGAUAAAUGUGUUGGAAAUGUAUAAAUUGUUGAUUUGCCUUGAAAGGCUGUAAAAUAAAAUAAAAUAAUUGCCAUGUCAUGCUAUUGCAAAUUUUAUUGUAUGGUGGGUUUAACUUGCUGCAGUGGGUGGGUUUUCUGUGGACCAGCCUAUUAGAAGGGCACGGAAUCCCGUUAUAUUUUACCUUGGUUGGAGAGGCGAGUAGGGUAACUCCCGAGGUAUAACUUUAGAGUUCACUUCACGCUAAACCACCACGUGAGGGUGAACUCAACCAACGCCAAGGAACGGCUAUGUUUUCAAAAUAGAAACAUGAUUUAUGCGUACAUAACUUUUUAACGGCCUUGGCGGACUCGGUUGGGAUAACCCUCGAUCAAGGUAUCCCUGAUAACUGGGUAUAAAAAUGAUUUUGGCACGAGCCAAAGUUUUAAGAAAUUCAUAAGCCAUGUUGAUUACUCGAUUUAUAUGAAUUGAUUUUAUUUGGUUAAAACAAGUUGAAAGGUGAUGAAUUACAGUAUGCUAAUCUAUUUUAUCUAUCUCUAUUUACUCAGCUUUAGAUAUUUUAGAUGGUAUUUGUUUACUCACUGGGAUUAUAUAAUCUCACCACCCUUCUUUCCACCCAUUUCAAGCUCAGAAUAGGUUUUAGAUAGCUGAUUUCAUCGAGGCUACCAUUAGAUUUGCAUCCUCCAAACUGUAGGUUCACACUCUUCCUUACUUUUAGUUAUUCGGGGGCCCACUGGUUAUUAUAAAUUAAAUUAAAUACUCUGGCUUACUAUAUUACAGUAUGCAUGAAUUUAUUUUGCUUUUACGCUGCCAUGAAAAAAUUUAUUUACGUAUAACUCUAAAAAUAUUAUUUUAUAAGAAAAUAGAAUAUUUUAUUGAAUAUUUCUUUUAUUUUUUAUUUAUAUGCAAAUAAUCAUAAUUUUAUUUUAAAUGAAGGUUUUAGAUGUUUAAACUUAUAUUUUAUUAUGAAUUAUGUGUUUUGUACUCACAUACUACAUUUUUCACAGGUUUCAAAAUUUUUAGGAAAAAAUGACUAAAAUACCCCUGUGAGACGAAAAUUAUUUUUUUAUUGUUUUAAGUUGGAAAUAGUUUAAAAUCUUUUAGAACGUGAUAUUUAGCAAUGGUUACUCAUAGGGGAAAUGAGAAAUUGAUAUUAAAGCCUUGCAGGGUUUUGUUUGACAUUUCGAGUAAUGAGUGUCAAUCGGGACAUCGCGGCACUUGUCAAGGGCUCGAGGGGAGUUCCGGGUCGUGACACCCCUUUUUUCACUUAGGUGCCCUGCUUCUUGCUGCAGCAAGAAUGCUUUCUCGCUGCAGCAAGAAACAUUCUGUUCUGGCAGCAGAAAACUCACUGCAGAGAAAAUAAAUCUCGCUAUAGCAAGAAACUCUCGGGUUUUGAUGCAGUGCCUUCACUUUGAUAAAGAUUUUGACCACCUUCCCGUCGGAACUGGGAAAAGUGGUAACAUCAAAGUUGUAACCCUGCCUCUUAUCUUUCUAAUGGUCUAAAAAUAAGGUCAAUUGAACUUCUGUAGCUAGAGAUAUUCCAGAAAAAGGAAACAUAUGCAAACUGGUACUGUUUCUCUCUGCAGCGAGAAUGAACUUCGCUGCAGUGAGAAACAUUUUGUCCCACAUGCUACCCUAUUCGAUAUUUGACAUAUUUUUCACCCAUUUAACUUCAUGGAUUGAUCAUGGGUUGUUGC